This 517-nucleotide ribosomal RNA is filed under the name uncultured bacterium. RNAcentral's name for it is "bacterial SSU rRNA". It matches the Rfam family "Bacterial small subunit ribosomal RNA", at positions 29 to 518 of the family's 1533-position model. The record is from RNAcentral.
ACGAACGCUGGCGGCGUGCCUAAUACAUGCAAGUCGAACGGUCUUUCUAUGGAAGCUUGCUUCCACUGAGAAGAUAGUGGCGAACGGGUGAGUAACACGUGGGUAACCUGCCCAUAAGAGGGGGAUAACAUCCGGAAACGGGUGCUAAUACCGCAUAGUUUUCUUGAUCACAUGAUUGAGAAAGGAAAGACGGCCUUUGUGCUGUCGCUUAUGGAUGGACCCGCGGCGUAUUAGUUAGUUGGUGAGGUAACGGCUCACCAAGACGAUGAUACGUAGCCGACCUGAGAGGGUGAUCGGCCACAUUGGGACUGAGACACGGCCCAAACUCCUACGGGAGGCAGCAGUAGGGAAUCUUCCGCAAUGGACGAAAGUCUGACGGAGCAACGCCGCGUGAGUGAAGAAGGUUUUUCCGGAUCGUAAAACUCUGUUGUCAGAGAAGAACAAGUUGGAGAGUAACUGCUCCAGCCUUGACGGUAUCUGACCAGAAAGCCACGGCUAACUACGUGCCAGCCGCAGC